Non-coding RNA from Brassica rapa (field mustard), 308 nucleotides. The record is from Rfam. NCBI's taxonomy places the organism in Eukaryota, Viridiplantae, Streptophyta, Magnoliopsida, Brassicales, Brassicaceae.
GUCGAGCUUGGUAACGCGGGCUUGUAAUCCAUGUGGGGACAAUAAGGUGAUGGGACAUUGGGCCGAUCUCUUUGGGCCGGACUCGGAAAGGCUAUUUACUGGUCUGCCCGUUCCAAGUCGGGAGUUGAGUGGUCGGGCUCGAGCGAAGGCUUGUGGUUCGGACACUCUUAGAGCGGAGGAGACCGCGUGAGGCUGGUUUCACAGAGCAGCGUCCACCUCCCGCUUUCGACGGUGGAAGGAUUACGGGCCGGUGCCUCCCGAGCCCACUAUGACCCAAUAUACCGGGCUCCAAUUGGACCAUCUCUUUU